GCCGGGGUAUUCUAGUCCGGCAGGAAGCAUGCCUGGAAAGCAUGUGCUCUUUGAGCUCGAGAGUUCAAAUCUCUCCCCCGGCG
RNAcentral lists this transfer RNA (83 nucleotides) under Candidatus Heimdallarchaeota archaeon B3_Heim. RNAcentral describes it as "Candidatus Heimdallarchaeota archaeon B3-JM-08 tRNA-Ser". It matches the Rfam family "tRNA". Rfam says of the family: Transfer RNA (tRNA) molecules are approximately 80 nucleotides in length. Their secondary structure includes four short double-helical elements and three loops (D, anti-codon, and T loops). RNAcentral also lists the same sequence under 1 other name. The record is from RNAcentral. Lineage: Archaea; Promethearchaeati; Candidatus Heimdallarchaeota.